Molecule: ribosomal RNA, 426 nt
Filed under: uncultured bacterium
Lineage: Bacteria
Description: partial 16S ribosomal RNA
Rfam family: Bacterial small subunit ribosomal RNA
Source: RNAcentral
GUGAGGAAUUUUCCGCAAUGGGCGAAAGCCUGACGGAGCAAUGCCGCGUGAAGGAUGAAGGCCUAUGGGUUGUAAACUUCUUUUCUCAGAAAAGAAUUAUGACGGUAUCUGAGGAAUAAGCAUCAGCUAACUCUGUGCCAGCAGCCGCGGUAAGACAGAGGAUGCAAGCGUUAUCCGGAAUGAUUGGGCGUAAAGCGUCUGUAGGUUGUUUAAAAAGUAUUCUGUCAAAGAUUAGGGCUUAACCCUAGAUAGGCAGAAUAAACUUUUAAGCUAGAGUUUGGUAGAGGCAGAGGGAAUUCCCGGUGGAGCGGUGAAAUGCGUAGAUAUCGGGAGGAACACCAAAGGCGAAGGCACUCUGCUGGGCCAAUACUAACACUGAGAGACGAAAGCGAGGGGAGUAAAUGGGAUUAGAAACCCUUGUAGUCC